UUUUCUUUUUUUCUUUUUUUUUCCUUUUUUUUUCUGGUGAUUGCUUGAAGGUCUGAUCACAUUAAAUAGGAAGCUUGGCUCUUACAGCACUGGUCCCACCAAACCUUUUUCUCUUCCAAGGCAAAAUUUGGCCUUCAUGCUCAUGUGGACCCAUGCUACUACCUUUGAAGAUCAGCACUGCUAGUACAAGGAGGCAACUCCACUCUUCAUGAACAAGGGCAGCACACCUCCUGUACCAGCCAAAUGGUAGUUCAAGGGUGGAUGGCAUGAUUCAUGGGCACCUACACUAUACCUAACAGGCAGUUCAUUAACGUGCUCCUCAGAACCUCCAGUGUGCUGCGGAACUUCAGAGAGAGGUGGCAAAAUACAGCAUGCAGGAGAGCUGCGCAGCAGAGAUGGCCUCUGGAGAAGCUUCCUUAUCCUGAAGUAGCACACAGCAGAAGAGCCAUGGAGCAUGGUUCUUUCUAGCCCGAGCUGCAGCAUGAGGCACAGAAGG
RNAcentral lists this long non-coding RNA (496 nucleotides) under Struthio camelus australis. RNAcentral describes it as "lncRNA (ENSSCUG00000016584.1)". The record is from RNAcentral. Lineage: Eukaryota; Metazoa; Chordata; Aves; Struthioniformes; Struthionidae.